This 77-nucleotide transfer RNA is filed under the name Myxococcota bacterium. RNAcentral describes it as "tRNA-Leu". It matches the Rfam family "tRNA". Rfam says of the family: Transfer RNA (tRNA) molecules are approximately 80 nucleotides in length. The record is from RNAcentral. Lineage: Bacteria; Pseudomonadati; Myxococcota.
GGCUUUGUGGCCCAACUGGCAGAGGCGCUCGACUCAAAAUCGAGAUGUUCUGGGUUCGACUCCCAGCAGAGCCACCA